This 1734-nucleotide ribosomal RNA is filed under the name Escherichia coli. RNAcentral describes it as "partial 23S ribosomal RNA". It matches the Rfam family "Bacterial large subunit ribosomal RNA", at positions 1 to 1774 of the family's 2925-position model. The record is from RNAcentral. Lineage: Bacteria; Pseudomonadati; Pseudomonadota; Gammaproteobacteria; Enterobacterales; Enterobacteriaceae.
GGUUAAGCGACUAAGCGUACACGGUGGAUGCCCUGGCAGUCAGAGGCGAUGAAGGACGUGCUAAUCUGCGAUAAGCGUCGGUAAGGUGAUAUGAACCGUUAUAACCGGCGAUUUCCGAAUGGGGAAACCCAGUGUGAUUCGUCACACUAUCAUUAACUGAAUCCAUAGGUUAAUGAGGCGAACCGGGGGAACUGAAACAUCUAAGUACCCCGAGGAAAAGAAAUCAACCGAGAUUCCCCCAGUAGCGGCGAGCGAACGGGGAGCAGCCCAGAGCCUGAAUCAGUGUGUGUGUUAGUGGAAGCGUCUGGAAAGGCGCGCGAUACAGGGUGACAGCCCCGUACACAAAAAUGCACAUACUGUGAGCUCGAUGAGUAGGGCGGGACACGUGGUAUCCUGUCUGAAUAUGGGGGGACCAUCCUCCAAGGCUAAAUACUCCUGACUGACCGAUAGUGAACCAGUACCGUGAGGGAAAGGCGAAAAGAACCCCGGCGAGGGGAGUGAAAAAGAACCUGAAACCGUGUACGUACAAGCAGUGGGAGCACGCUUAGGCGUGUGACUGCGUACCUUUUGUAUAAUGGGUCAGCGACUUAUAUUCUGUAGCAAGGUUAACCGAAUAGGGGAGCCGAAGGGAAACCGAGUCUUAACUGGGCGUUAAGUUGCAGGGUAUAGACCCGAAACCCGGUGAUCUAGCCAUGGGCAGGUUGAAGGUUGGGUAACACUAACUGGAGGACCGAACCGACUAAUGUUGAAAAAUUAGCGGAUGACUUGUGGCUGGGGGUGAAAGGCCAAUCAAACCGGGAGAUAGCUGGUUCUCCCCGAAAGCUAUUUAGGUAGCGCCUCGUGAAUUCAUCUCCGGGGGUAGAGCACUGUUUCGGCAAGGGGGUCAUCCCGACUUACCAACCCGAUGCAAACUGCGAAUACCGGAGAAUGUUAUCACGGGAGACACACGGCGGGUGCUAACGUCCGUCGUGAAGAGGGAAACAACCCAGACCGCCAGCUAAGGUCCCAAAGUCAUGGUUAAGUGGGAAACGAUGUGGGAAGGCCCAGACAGCCAGGAUGUUGGCUUAGAAGCAGCCAUCAUUUAAAGAAAGCGUAAUAGCUCACUGGUCGAGUCGGCCUGCGCGGAAGAUGUAACGGGGCUAAACCAUGCACCGAAGCUGCGGCAGCGACGCUGAUGCGUUGUUGGGUAGGGGAGCGUUCUGUAAGCCUGUGAAGGUGUGCUGUGAGGCAUGCUGGAGGUAUCAGAAGUGCGAAUGCUGACAUAAGUAACGAUAAAGCGGGUGAAAAGCCCGCUCGCCGGAAGACCAAGGGUUCCUGUCCAACGUUAAUCGGGGCAGGGUGAGUCGACCCCUAAGGCGAGGCCGAAAGGCGUAGUCGAUGGGAAACAGGUUAAUAUUCCUGUACUUGGUGUUACUGCGAAGGGGGGACGGAGAAGGCUAUGUUGGCCGGGCGACGGUUGUCCCGGUUUAAGCGUGUAGGCUGGUUUUCCAGGCAAAUCCGGAAAAUCAAGGCUGAGGCGUGAUGACGAGGCACUACGGUGCUGAAGCAACAAAUGCCCUGCUUCCAGGAAAAGCCUCUAAGCAUCAGGUAACAUCAAAUCGUACCCCAAACCGACACAGGUGGUCAGGUAGAGAAUACCAAGGCGCUUGAGAGAACUCGGGUGAAGGAACUAGGCAAAAUGGUGCCGUAACUUCGGGAGAAGGCACGCUGAUAUGUAGGUGAAGCGACUUGCUC